UGGGGAAUAUUGGACAAUGGGCGAAAGCCUGAUCCAGCCAUGCCGCGUGUGUGAAGAAGGUCUUCGGAUUGUAAAGCACUUUAAGUUGGGAGGAAGGGCAGUAAGCGAAUACCUUGCUGUUUUGACGUUACCGACAGAAUAAGCACCGGCUAACUCUGUGCCAGCAGCCGCGGUAAUACAGAGGGUGCAAGCGUUAAUCGGAAUUACUGGGCGUAAAGCGCGCGUAGGUGGUUCGUUAAGUUGAAUGUGAAAGCCCCGGGCUCAACCUGGGAACUGCAUCCAGAACUGGCGAGCUGAAGUAGGGCAGAGGGUGGUGGAAUUUCCUGUGUAGCGGUGAAAUGCGUAGAUAUAGGAAGGAACACCAGUGGCGAAGGCGACCACCUGGGCUCAUACUGACACUGAGGUGCGAAAGCGUGGGGAGCAAACAGG
Molecule: ribosomal RNA, 429 nt
Filed under: Pseudomonadota bacterium
Lineage: Bacteria; Pseudomonadati; Pseudomonadota
Description: Proteobacteria bacterium partial 16S ribosomal RNA
Rfam family: Bacterial small subunit ribosomal RNA
Source: RNAcentral